UGCAAGGCCGCCCGCUUGUGCGGCGAAGCGGGCCAGCCUCAGCCCACCCCCUGGUUUUCCUCCCAGCCCGGAGUCACCAGGCCUCAGAGUGAAAUAGUCGCUGUCGGUGUUCCCGGGAAGAGCCUGGCGUGGUUGGGAUCUUUGCAUUCUUGUUUAACAAUCCCGCAGCCGCGCUGGCGCGGGUACUAUCGUCCCCUUCUUAAAGAAGGGAAACUUUGCAGCUGGAAGAGUUCAAUCAGCCGUGAAGGGGCACCCAGCUGGAAAGAAGCAUGUGGGCCCCCAGGCUUGUUCGCACAUAAAAUAGGUUGCCUUCAGGAGAGGAACGCGGAGCUUAGGAGAUCCACGACUUGAGAGUGAGCAGCGGUAGCAAGCCUGUUCUUUGUUCCACGCAGAGACAUUACCUCAUCCCUCAAGACUGCACGCUACGAACACAACCCCUUGAGAAAUGGCCCAAGUACAGAGUUGAUCAGAGCCGUACAUUCUUGGCGCAGGCAGCGACAGCGUGCAGACCCUAAUGGUGAACUGCCUCCACUAACAACAGAGACAGAGAAAAAUCUCCCACCCACUGGUUCACUCCCCAGAUGCCCGAAACAGCUGAAGCUGAGUCAAGUGAAAACCAGGAGCUCAAAACUCAAGACCAUGAAUGCAAUAGCUGGUGGACUCCAUGCAUCCCAAACCCAAACGGAGAUGCUGCUGGGAAGUGGUGAUGGGCUGACAGGACACAUGAUCAUGUUUCACUAGGAAGAAAGGCUCUUCACAUGCUAAGGUAGCAAGUGGCUUAAACGCUCACCCAGUGCAAUGCAACCAAGAAGACUGAAGUCCAGAGACUGAAAAUGAUUCACCCAAGGUGGGGAUGGGCAAGGAACAGGCCUCGCAAGGCCUGGGAGGACCGGCACUCCACCCCUGCCAGGACGUCUGAGAGGAGGCGGUGGACAGCGGAUGCUGGGCCCGAGCCAGAGAAGGUGUGCAGUGCGGUGCUCGAGCCUCCUUCUGGACUCUGUCGGCUGUGCACUGUGCCGAAGGGAGAGAAGCUGCUCGGAUUCCCAUGGCACCUGACGCGGUUCAUUUGGUUUUCACAUCUACUAUCUCUGUGUGUAGGGCAAAGCCUUCCCCUUGGCAUUUCAUCCCAUUUGGAACGGGUUUUUAUAGCCGAGGCCCUGGGCCCACACCUCCUUCCUUUCCAACCCCCUUCCCUCCACAUCUCUGCCAUCAGAUAGGCGAUCAGCAGACUGCACUGGCCCCGUACUUUCCCCUGGUAGAGACCUGUGUUGUGCUUCCUCUAGAUUUCUAAAAACUGAACAGGUUGUAGGUUAACAGGAAAGUGGUGAGGAUAGCGCUGAACUCCCAUAUACCUCUCACCCAGUUUCCCUAUGGUCAACAUCACGACUAAGAACCCAGGAGACCAUGUGACCCUGUGUGCUCAGCCCCCUCCGGCCUGUUCCCGACAGUUCCUGACUCUCCUUGUCUUGAUGACCUUGCCAGAUAGUUUUGUCUUUUAAAAAAAAAAAAAGAUUUAUUUAUUUGAAAGGCAGAACAACAUAUAGAGAGGGUGAGACAGAGAGAGAGAUCUUCCAUUUGCUGGUUUACUCUCCAGAUGGCCACAAUGAUCGGGGCUGAGCCAGGCCAGGAACUCCAUCUGGGUCUCCCACAUGGGUGGCAGGGGUCCACAUGGCCAUCUCCUGCUGCUUUCCCAGGUGCAUUAGGAGGCAGCUGGAUGGGAAGCAGAGCAGCCAGGAUUUGACUUGGUGCUGCGAUAAGGGCUGCUGAUGUUGCAGGUGGCAGCUGAACCUGCUGUGCCACAUCAUCAGUAGUGGCCAGGUACGUUGCUUUCCUGGUAGUUGGAUGAAGGUUGUGAGAUUGGGGGAGGGAAGUUACAGAGGCACAGUAUCUCUCUAGUCACAGCCAUCAGUGUGACAUCCCUGACAUUACAUCACCUGGGUCACCUGGCCAAGUCAUGUUUGCCAGGGUCCUCCACCACUGCCUUACUGUUUCCCUUUCCAUCCUGCACUCUUUGGAAGCAGGCCUCACCCAAGGGAAGUGGGGAGAGCAGUUAACCUCCACCUCCUGGAGGAGGGAGUGUCUGUGUGUACUAUUUGGAAUCUUCUGUCAGAGGAGAUCCCAGAGAUGUUUUAAGACUUUUGGGGCCGGCACCGUUGCUCACUUGGUUAAUCCUCCACCUGUGGCACCAGCCUCCCAUAUGGGCGCCAGUUCUAGUCCCGGCUGCUCCUCUUCCAGUCCAGCUCUCUGCUGUGGCCCGGGAAGACAGUGGAGUAUGGCCCAAGUGCUUGGGCCCCUGCACCCACAUGGGAGACCAGGAGAAGCACCUGGCUCCUGGCUUCGGAUCGGCGCAGUUCUGGACAUGGCAGUUAUUUGGGGGGUGAACCAACAGAAAGAUGACAUUUCUCUCUGUCUCUGUCUCUCUCUCUCUCUGUCUCUCUCUCUCUCUCUCUCACUGUCUAACUCUGCCUGUCAAAUAAAUUAAAAAAUAAAAUAAAAUAAAC
Molecule: long non-coding RNA, 2501 nt
Organism: Lepus europaeus (European hare)
Lineage: Eukaryota; Metazoa; Chordata; Mammalia; Lagomorpha; Leporidae
Exons: 5
Source: RefSeq, a predicted model, not a curated record